AGUCGGGGAGUGGCAUUUACAUCCCAGAAAGACACACAUGUAUCACCUCGUGUUGGCACUUCCAUUGCAAUGCACAACUCUGACAUAUAUAGUGCCGACAUUUCCUUCCUUAAGCUUGAAAAAAGGUGAUUUGAUGUCCAUAAAAAAUUAACUGAGCAGUUAGAUAUUUUCUAAUACGUAUCUCACGUAAUUUGAUGCUCAUUGAUACUGCAUUACUGUGUCAGGAACGUGUUGAUGUAAAAUCUUUCAGUUUUGAUGGAUCUUAUUACAAGCUUUCAACUCUUCUUAGCACGACUUCUGACAGAACAAAGUCAUCACAAUCUGGACAAGAAUGAUGACCAUCAAAAUAACAAACAUGUGAUCAUCCAUGAGAAUCCAUCUGUUCAAGAGUCACAUCUUCAAGAAUCUACUGUAGAAACUCAACAGUUAGUGUUUGUAAACUUACUGGUAUAGAAGUAGAUACGAUGGAUAAUGUAUUUGUAAACUGAGAAAGGUGUUAUGUAUAUAUAUAUAUCUUGACUGUCUGGUGUGUUGUUAUAGUAUCAACUGAUUUUGUGAUAGAUUGAAUAGAUUGAACGUAAGUGUGUUAAGUUGGAUUGAUGA
Cucumis sativus (cucumber) is the source of this 603-nucleotide long non-coding RNA. RefSeq lists it as uncharacterized. The transcript is spliced from 2 exons. The record is from RefSeq and is a predicted model, not a curated record. Lineage: Eukaryota; Viridiplantae; Streptophyta; Magnoliopsida; Cucurbitales; Cucurbitaceae.